CCUACGGGUGGCAGCAGUGAGGAAUAUUGGUCAAUGGACGAGAGUCUGAACCAGCCAAGUAGCGUGAAGGAUGACUGCCCUAUGGGUUGUAAACUUCUUUUAUAUGGGAAUAAAACGUUCCACGUGUGGGAUUUUGUAUGUACCAUAUGAAUAAGGCUCGGCUAACUCCGUGCCAGCAGCCGCGGUAAUACGGAGGAUCCGAGCGUUAUCCGGAUUUAUUGGGUUUAAAGGGAGCGUAGGUGGAUUGUUAAGUCAGUUGUGAAAGUUUGCGGCUCAACCGUAAAAUUGCAGUUGAAACUGGCAGUCUUGAGUACAGUAGAGGUGGGCGGAAUGCGUGGUGUAGCGGUGAAAUGCUUAGAUAUCACGAAGAACUCCGAUUGCGAAGGCAGUUCACUGGACUGCAACUGACACUGAGGCACGAAAGUGUGGGUAUCAAACAGGAUUAGAUACCCUUGUAGUC
Molecule: ribosomal RNA, 460 nt
Filed under: uncultured bacterium
Lineage: Bacteria
Description: partial 16S ribosomal RNA
Rfam family: Bacterial small subunit ribosomal RNA
Source: RNAcentral